AGUGAACGCUGGCGGUAGGCCUAACACAUGCAAGUCGAACGGCAGCACAGUAAGAGCUUGCUCUUACGGUUGGCGAUUGGCGGACGGGUGAGGCAUACAUCGGCAUCUACUUUUUCGUGGGGGUUAACGUAGGGACACUUACGCUAAUACCUCAUACGACCUACGGGUGAAAGCAGGGGAUCUUCGUACCUUGCGCGACUGAAUGAGCCGAUGUCGGAUUAGCUAGUUGGCGGGGUAAAGUCCCACCAAGGCGACGAUCCGUAGCUGUUCUGAGAGGAUGAUCGGCCACAAUGGAACUGAGACACGGUCCAGAGUCCUACGGGAGGCAGCAGUGGGGAAUAUUAGACAAUGGGCGCAAGCCUGAUCCAGCCAUACCGCGUGGGUGAAGAAGGCCUUCGGGUUGUAAAGCUCUUUUGUUGGGAAAGAAAAGCAGCGGGUUAAUACCCGGCUGUUCUGACGGUACCUAAAGAGUAAGCACCGGCUAACUUCGUG
This 492-nucleotide ribosomal RNA is filed under the name uncultured bacterium. RNAcentral's name for it is "partial 16S ribosomal RNA". It matches the Rfam family "Bacterial small subunit ribosomal RNA", at positions 29 to 507 of the family's 1533-position model. The record is from RNAcentral.